Clupea harengus (Atlantic herring) is the source of this 1433-nucleotide long non-coding RNA. The record is from Ensembl. NCBI's taxonomy places the organism in Eukaryota, Metazoa, Chordata, Actinopteri, Clupeiformes, Clupeidae.
UUGCUCGAUGCAGCUUCUGCUGCCAUCGAUGCAGCCUCUGCCACCCUCGAAGCAGCCUCUGAUGCUGCCGCCUCCGAGGUUGUCUCUGCUGCCCCAGAGGUAGCCUCCGUCGCUACCACUCCCAAAGCAGCCUCUGACGCUGCCGCCCCAGAAGCAGCCUCUGACGCUGCCGCCCCUGAAGUAGCCUCCGUUGCUACCGCCCCAGAAGCAGCCUCUGACGCUGCCGCCUCCGAGGUCGUCUCUGCUGCCCCAGAUGUAGCCUCCGUCGCUACCACUCCCAAAGCAGCCUCUGCCUCUCCCGAAGCAGCUUCUGAUGCUGCCACCCCCGAAGCAGCCUCUGACGCUGCCGCCCCCGACGUAGCCUCUGUCGCUACCACCCCAGAAGCAGCCUCUGAUGCCACUGACGUAGCCUCCGUCGCUACCACUCCCGAAGCACCCACUGCUGCCCCCGACGUAGUCUCUGUUGCUAGCAACCCCGAAGCAGCCUCUGUCGCUGCUGUCCCUGAAGCAGCCUCUGAUGCCACUGACGUAGCCUCCGUCGCUACCGCUCCCGAAGCACCCACUGCUGCCCCCGACGUAGCCUCUGUUGCUAGCAACCCCGAAGCAGCCUCUGUCGCUGCUGUCUCUGAAGAAAUUGCUGAUGGUGACGCCACUGAGGCCUACGCCACAGCAGAACCAGCCGCCGCAGAUCAAGCCGCCGCUCUCCCUGCAGACCGAGCCGUCGCUCACCCUGCAGACCCGGCCGUCGCUGACCCUGCAGACCCGGCCGUCGCUGACCCUGCAGAACCAGCCACCGCAGAUCAAGCCGCCGCUCUCCCUGCAGACCGAGCCGUCGCUCACCCUGCAGACCCGGCCGUCGCUGACCCUGCAGACCCGGCCGUCGCUGACCCUGCAGACCCAGCCGUCGCUGACCCAGCAGACCCAGCCGACGCUCACCCAGCUUGUGCGUACCCUACAGCCAGCGCUGCCGACCCGGACCCCGCAGCCACCGCUGCCGACCCGCACCCCGCAGCUGACCCGGACCCUGCUGCCACAGCUGCCAACCAAGAUCCUCCAGCAUCCGUUUCCGAUGCAGGCCCAGCAGCACCCUCUGCCGAGACCGGUCCAGCAGCACCUUCUGAUGGCGUCGCUGCUGAGGGCUCUGCUGUUCCAAGCGCCCCUGGCCGGAGUGCCCCUGUCCCGAGCGCCCCUGGCCGGAGCGCCCCUGUCCCGAGCGUCCCAGGCGCCCCUGUCCCGAGCGUCCCAGGCUCCCCUGUCCCGAGCGUCCCAGGCUCCCCUGUCCCGAGCGUCCCAGGCUCCCCUGUCCCGAGCGUCCCAGGCUCCCCUGUCCCGAGCCUCCCAGGCUCCCCUGUCCCGAGCGUCCCAGGCGCCCCUGUCCCGAGCGUCUCAGGCGCCCCGGUCCCGAGCGUCCCAGGCUCCCCUGUCCCGAGCGC